GAUGAACGCUGGCGGCGUGCCUAAUACAUGCAAGUCGAGCGAACGGACGAGAAGCUUGCUUCUCUGAUGUUAGCGGCGGAAGGGUGAGUAACACGUGGAUAACCUACCUAUAAGACUGGGAUAACUUCGGGAAACCGUAGCUAAUACCGGAUAAUAUUUUGAACCGCAUGGUUCAAAAGUGAAAGACGGUCUUGCUGUCACUUAUAGAUGGAUCCGCGCUGGAUUAGCUAGUUGGUAAGGUAACGGCUUACCAAGGCAACGAUGCAUAGCCGGCCUGAGAGGGUGAUCAGCCACACUGGAACUGAGACACGGUCCAGACUCCUACGGGAGGCAGCAGUAGGGAAUCUUGCGCAAUGGGCGAAAGCCUGACGGAGCAACGCCGCGUGAGUGAUGAAGGUCUUCGGAUCGUAAAACUCUGUUAUUAGGGAAGAACAUAUGUGUAAGUAACUGUGCACAUCUUGACGGUACCUAAACAGAAAGCCACGGCUAACUACGUG
Molecule: ribosomal RNA, 497 nt
Filed under: uncultured bacterium
Lineage: Bacteria
Description: partial 16S ribosomal RNA
Rfam family: Bacterial small subunit ribosomal RNA
Source: RNAcentral